CUGAAACAUCUUUCUCCCCAUUGAUUGCCAGAAUUGAGUUGGUUGAACAGGCUGGCUAGGUCAGUGUCC
Molecule: small RNA, 69 nt
Filed under: Salvator merianae (Argentine black and white tegu)
Lineage: Eukaryota; Metazoa; Chordata; Lepidosauria; Squamata; Teiidae
Description: 7SK RNA (ENSSMRG00000022843.1)
Source: RNAcentral